This 258-nucleotide ribosomal RNA is filed under the name uncultured Dominikia. Its description in RNAcentral is "partial large subunit ribosomal RNA". It matches the Rfam family "Eukaryotic large subunit ribosomal RNA", at positions 359 to 632 of the family's 3401-position model. Lineage: Eukaryota; Fungi; Glomeromycota; Glomeromycetes; Glomerales; Glomeraceae. The record is from RNAcentral.
GAAAGAUGAAAAGAACUUUGAAAAGAGAGUAAAAUAGUACGUGAAAUUGUUGAAAGGGAAACGAUUGAAGUCAGUCGUACCGACGGAAAAUCAGCUCUUUGAGUGCGGACUUGUGGGCUUACGUGAGUUUUAACACCUCGCUGUUUGCAACGUUCGUGUUUUUUGGGUGUACUUUUUCGUAUGGUUGGCCAAUAUCAGUUUUGAUCGCUAUAAAAUGACCGGCGGAAUGUAGCUUCGAUCUCGUAUUGAAGUGUUAUA